AGAAGAUCUGUUUUCUCAACACCAUAUGGUUUUAAAUAGAGAAGAGACUCUUUGUCUGCUACAAGGACAGAUGUGAAGAAAGAUCCUACCAUUUUAUGUUCAUGUCAGAUGCAGAAUAUUGCAUGGCAUUGGAAGACAGGUGAGAUGAAAAUUGGAAGCAUUAAACUAGAAUUGCGUGUCAGAUGUUAAUAAACAAUGUAUUUUGACUCA
Long non-coding RNA from Mauremys reevesii (Reeves's turtle), 210 nucleotides. RefSeq lists it as uncharacterized. The record is from RefSeq and is a predicted model, not a curated record. NCBI's taxonomy places the organism in Eukaryota, Metazoa, Chordata, Testudines, Geoemydidae. The transcript has 2 exons.